Long non-coding RNA from Dalotia coriaria, 1865 nucleotides. RefSeq lists it as uncharacterized. The transcript has 5 exons. Lineage: Eukaryota; Metazoa; Arthropoda; Insecta; Coleoptera; Staphylinidae. The record is from RefSeq and is a predicted model, not a curated record.
CCAGCAAAUCCGCCGCAUUAUUCCUGAUUUGUGCGUUUCGCGUUUAAUUCUUUUUCGUUCUCCGAGCGUGCAAUAUGCGACCGCGCGCUGCUUAUAAUAAUACACUCAAUAACGUCAUCUGUCCACUUUGUCACCAGAGUGGUAAGCCCGUAACUCCGCACGCCGCCGGUGCGCGAGUGUUCGCUCGCCGUGUCUGCGGUGGGUCCCUUCGCCGUUCCUUCAUUCCUUCGGCUCGCCGGUGUCUCGGUGUCAUAUUAUAGGAGACAACGAACGUGUAUUAAACCAAACACCGAAAAUUUAAGACCCGAAAAAAGCUUCUGUUUGCUGCGCCAGCGUGAAUGCCACACGAAGUUCGAUGGAGCGUUUUGUGGUCCCUUUGUCAUCCCUUCAACGCUCAUAUUUCACGUGACAAUAAUGCUGUAUUUUGACUGCGGUUUCACCACACACCAACAACACCAUUUGAAAGAUUUAGAAGAAAAAAUCAGCGCCGGCCUGCUGGAGAUGAUUAGCAGUCACGACGGACAAUCAGGAUAACCACCGGGUUUGCGAAUGGUUAAAAGACCGUAAUCUUUGUGGGCAAUGAUCAUCGCGACGCGCCAACCACUUCAAACGCACUGCAUUGCUUUGCAAACAAUUCCAGCGGAUUACUUAACGUUACAAGGUGUGUUUUCAAUUUUCAACGAAGAGAGACAAUUUAAAUAGUUCCUGGUAUCGAUAGCUCUUUAUAGCUGAAUACGCCGAUUCAAAUGUCAGUAGUUUGCAAUUAUUCAAUUAUCUCAAUCAUUAAAUUGAGUCUAUAAAUUGCGAUUAAUUAACAAGCAUGCCGCAGUAUAACAACGCCAGCACUCGCCUGCAAUUAUUUAUCGUUUUGUUUGUGCGAUAAACAACGAAAAGCGUGCAUAAGUAGGUACGCACAUAAUGAAUUAUUCCCUAUACAGCUAACAAGAAAAAUUAAUGGAAUAAAUCAAUACCUAGGUACUGUAUUAAACGAUUCAAGUGUGUAACUAGAGAAUGUUGCGCUUUUAAUUUAAUUAAUUGAUUAAAUGAAAUUUCGACGCAGCCAGCAAUUUGACUAAGCACUCCGCGGAUGGUCAUUAAGCUUGUGAGCUACGAGGCAAAACAUUUCGAAAGAUUUAUGCCCUUUAUUACCACCCUAAAACAUCCUUAAUUGGAAGACAACGACAACGCGCGCCGCCUGAAAUUCCAGGUUAAUUAGUCGUUUUGCCAUCCCUUUUAGACGCAAAGAAGAAAAUUUCCUAAACUCGAAAUAUUUUCGACUCAUUUUAAGAAAACAAAUAAAAUUUCUUGAUGCUUUAAGCCGGUUUUUUUUAUUUUAUUUAUCAUGUUUUACAAAUUUGAUUAAGGGAUGAUUUAAGAUCGCUAUCGGUCGUAAACUCACACGUUUAGCUGUGUUUUCAAACCGGCUGCAAUCCCGCAUGAUUGCGAGGAUUUAGGUACUAAGACCCGACUCGAAUCGCCUCGUGUGUGUUAUUUAUGUAUGCGUUUAUGAAUGAGGAAUGAACGAAGGAUGUGCGCGUACACACACACAAUGUGCGAUUGGUUACGAGUUACGAGGCUGCGACAUCUAUAAUGGUUUUCCAACCAAAACUCGUCCGCGCACACCGGGCUUAAAUAUUUAUCGUCCGCCCUGAACGCCACGUUUUGUUGAUUUGUUACGUAACAAUGAAUCAAAAGCCCUUUUGUCCUUUAUUUAUUCACGUACAUGUUCCUUCUCUUCUUAUACAGUAUGUUAAAAAAUAUUUUUUUUGUUUAUCAAAGUUUAGAUUAUAGAAUUAUUUGAUUGUUGGUUAUGUAAUUUACGAUAAUGUUUAUUUUUAUUGUAAACGAUAGUCAAUUGUUACGUC